This 259-nucleotide ribosomal RNA is filed under the name uncultured bacterium. RNAcentral describes it as "partial small subunit ribosomal RNA". It matches the Rfam family "Bacterial small subunit ribosomal RNA", at positions 26 to 287 of the family's 1533-position model. The record is from RNAcentral.
AGGACGAACGCUGGCGGCGUGCCUAACACAUGCAAGUCGAACGGGGCCGGGGGCAACUCCGGUUCAGUGGCGGACGGGUGCGUAACACGUGAGGAACAUGACUUUCGGCGGGGGAUAGCCGGCCCAACGGCCGGGUAAUACCGCGUACGACCCUUGGAGACAUCUCCGUUGGGUGAAAGCAGCAAUGCACCGAAAGAGUGCCUCGCGGCCUAUCAGCUAGUUGGUGGGGUAAUGGCUCACCAAGGCGACGACGGGUAGC